AGGAUGAACGCUGGCGGCGUGCUUAACACAUGCAAGUCGAACGAUGAAGGCUGGAGCUUGCUCUGGCUGGAUUAGUGGCGAACGGGUGAGUAACACGUGAGUAACCUGCCCCAGACUCUGGGAUAAGCGCUGGAAACGGCGUCUAAUACCGGAUACGAGCUUCCACCGCAUGGUGAGGAGCUGGAAAGAAUUUCGGUCUGGGAUGGACUCGCGGCCUAUCAGCUUGUUGGUGAGGUAAUGGCUCACCAAGGCGACGACGGGUAGCCGGCCUGAGAGGGUGACCGGCCACACUGGGACUGAGACACGGCCCAGACUCCUACGGGAGGCAGCAGUGGGGAAUAUUGCACAAUGGGCGAAAGCCUGAUGCAGCAACGCCGCGUGAGGACGAAGGCCUUCGGUUGUAAACCUCUUUUAGUAGGUAAGAAGCGAAAGUGACGGUACCUGACAGAAAAAGCAACCGCUAACUACGUGCCAGCAGCCGCGGUAAUC
Molecule: ribosomal RNA, 489 nt
Filed under: uncultured soil bacterium
Lineage: Bacteria
Description: bacterial SSU rRNA
Rfam family: Bacterial small subunit ribosomal RNA
Source: RNAcentral